AUUGCCACAGAGACCAUCUAGCUAUCAAAACUUAACGUGUGGCCCUUUGUAGAAACGCUGCUGACCACUGCAAGAAGAUAUUCUUCCAGUCUCAAGAAUUGCACGGUGCCCCCGGCCACCCCCACCAGAUAAGAGGGGCAGAAGUCAGCACCGCCCCAAGGUGGUGUUGCCAGGACUCUCAUUGCUGACCCCACUUCUGCUCCAGGUGAUUUGUCUUCUUGAUUUCAUCAGCUCUAAGGCAGGGCUCACAACUGUGACAAAUGGAUAGAACAACGGCCGUGAGAUUGCCAUGAGAGCCGUGGAGUACCGUCCAAUCUUAUGACUGCUAUUUUCAUGAGUUUCCACAUCUGUCAAGUUACGAUAAUUAUGCUUUUCUACUGAAGUUAAGGAAGAGACAUGCACAGCCUCCGGGGCAGUGCCGACCACAUUGUAAAUGCUGAAUAAAUAAAUGAUAACUCUCAGCUGUGGCCUGGUUACAGGAACAAGCCCCAGGUCCCUGCAUCCUGCAAUGAACCGAACCUUGGUCCACAAUUGGAACAGCCCCAGUCCCGGGCUGGGUAGAAAAGUAUUUAAGGCUACCAGCCCAGUG
Long non-coding RNA from Balaenoptera ricei (Rice's whale), 589 nucleotides. RefSeq lists it as uncharacterized. NCBI's taxonomy places the organism in Eukaryota, Metazoa, Chordata, Mammalia, Artiodactyla, Balaenopteridae. The transcript has 3 exons. The record is from RefSeq and is a predicted model, not a curated record.